UGGGGAAUUUUGGACAAUGGGCGCAAGCCUGAUCCAGCCAUGCCGCGUGCAGGAUGAAGGCCUUCGGGUUGUAAACUGCUUUUGUACGGAACGAAAAGGUGCCUUCUAAUAAAGGGCGCUCAUGACGGCACCGUAAGAAUAAGCACCGGCUAACUACGUGCCAGCAGCCGCGGUAAUACGUAGGGUGCGAGCGUUAAUCGGAAUUACUGGGCGUAAAGCGUGCGCAGGCGGUUUUGUAAGACAGAGGUGAAAUCCCCGGGCUCAACCUUGGAACUGCCUUUGUGACUGCAAGGCUGGAGUGCGGCAGAGNGGGAUGGAAUUCCGCGUGUAGCAGUGAAAUGCGUAGAUAUGCGGAGGAACACCGAUGGCGAAGGCAAUCCCCUGGGCCUGCACUGACGCUCAUGCACGAAAGCGUGGGGAGCAAA
This 425-nucleotide ribosomal RNA is filed under the name uncultured bacterium. RNAcentral's name for it is "bacterial SSU rRNA". It matches the Rfam family "Bacterial small subunit ribosomal RNA", at positions 355 to 772 of the family's 1533-position model. The record is from RNAcentral.